Long non-coding RNA from Homarus americanus (American lobster), 325 nucleotides. RefSeq lists it as uncharacterized. Lineage: Eukaryota; Metazoa; Arthropoda; Malacostraca; Decapoda; Nephropidae. The transcript is spliced from 3 exons. The record is from RefSeq and is a predicted model, not a curated record.
CGCCUCGGUUGUAAACAUUAAGUCGACCAAAAUGUGUUAAUUAAAAUACAAACUUGGAGGAUUUAAUACUUCACUACGUCACUUUGACGGCUCCAAUACGCUGUUACUGUAGUGUUAAGACAACUACCAUAUUGCAGCCUCGCUGAUCAUGGUUAAUGAAGUUCCUCGUGUCAUUGGUCGAGGACGGUGACGUGAAGAUGUAAGAUAUGGGCCACAAGAUGAAGGUUUGUUUUGGUUAACGGGUCUCAUGCUGCACCACAUUGGAAACUCUCUGCUGUAACAUAAGGUACAGUACAGUGUAUAUCUUUGUGGUUUUAGUUUUUAU